CCUUGCCGUUCUGUUUAUAAUCGAUAGCGAAAAGCGCACAUGGAAGUGCGCUUUAGCCCACUGGAUCAGGGAUGAGUCCUGUGGGCGACGCGUAAGCGAUUAUGAACAGAACGGGGAGUCGUAGACC
This is a non-coding RNA of Gammaproteobacteria bacterium RBG_16_51_14, 127 nucleotides long. Lineage: Bacteria; Pseudomonadati; Pseudomonadota; Gammaproteobacteria. The record is from Rfam.